UUGGAGGGCAUCUGGUGCCAGCAGCCGCGGUAAUUCCAGCUCCAAUAGCGUAUAUUAAAGUUGUUGUGGUUAAAAAGCUCGUAGUUGAACCUUGGGCCUGGCUGGCCGGUCCGCCUCACCGCGUGUACUGGUCCGGCCGGGCCUUUCCCUCUGUGGAACCCCAUGCCCUUCACUGGGCGUGGCGGGGAAACAGGACUUUUACUGUGAAAAAAUUAGAGUGCUCCAGGCAGGCCUAUGCUCGAAUACAUUAGCAUGGAAUAAUAGAAUAGGA
RNAcentral lists this ribosomal RNA (271 nucleotides) under uncultured Ascomycota. RNAcentral's name for it is "partial 18S ribosomal RNA". It matches the Rfam family "Eukaryotic small subunit ribosomal RNA", at positions 548 to 827 of the family's 1831-position model. Lineage: Eukaryota; Fungi; Ascomycota. The record is from RNAcentral.